Thamnophis sirtalis is the source of this 266-nucleotide non-coding RNA. The record is from RefSeq and is a predicted model, not a curated record. NCBI's taxonomy places the organism in Eukaryota, Metazoa, Chordata, Lepidosauria, Squamata, Natricidae.
AAAUGGCUUUUGGGGGACCUGGUGUCGGGGUUAACUGUGGGCGUUGUACACAUCCCUCAAGGAAUGGCCUUUGCUCUGCUCACUUCAGUGGCUCCAAUCUAUGGGCUCUACACUUCAUUCUUCCCAGCCUUGUUGUAUCUGCUUUUUGGAACAGGACGUCAUGUGUCUACAGGCACAUUUGCUGUGGUCAGUCUGAUGACGGGCUCCGUGGUGGAGCGCUUGGUCCCCAUCCCCCAGCAUUCCAAUGGCACAGGUCCUGCUGAGGU